Cyprinus carpio carpio is the source of this 7040-nucleotide long non-coding RNA. Lineage: Eukaryota; Metazoa; Chordata; Actinopteri; Cypriniformes; Cyprinidae. The record is from Ensembl.
UUCACACUUCAGUAUCUUUAUUGUGGAAGCAAACAGAAGUAUUUUACAUAAGUUCACACACACAAGCUUUUAUCUCAGAGAGUGUGAAACAAUGCAGAAAACAAGAGAAUGAAGCAGAAUCAAACUUUAGAAAAUAAAACGCUCAUCUGGUCAUUUCCUUUCUCAUUUUCUCAUGAAAGUGUGUUAACAGUUGUGCAGAAAACAUAUAUUUUUACCAUGAUUUACAGAAGACAUCCAUUAAAAUAUAAUUCAGUGUAACACCUGUUCAUAAACCAAACAAUCUCAUCAGGCUUAUGCUCAGGCACACUCUAAAAAAUGCUUGGAUGUUUAUAAACGUAUGGUUGGUUAAACCAUUGUUUUGGCCAAACACUGGAGAUUAACGCUUACUUUUGAUCAGUUUUUAAUCUUUUGAAAUGGUGAGUUAGGAAAUCUUUACUAGGUCUGGGGUGGAUUUCUUAAAAGUGGUUUCCUGAUCGUGUCACGUGACUUCCUUGUGUGUUAUAUUCCUUCUUUUGUAGCAGAAAUAAACUUUUUCCAUUUCAUUUUGAGUGCAUAAUCAUUAGAUUUCGUUAAAAGACUCUACUCAAGGAUCAAAGUUCAGCCCUCAAAAGCUAAUGAUUUUUUUUCAUUUGAAAUCUUUCCAAGUCUUUGCCAUUGCACACUCUAAAAAAUGCUGGGUUGUUUCAACCCAACUUUGGGUCAAAUAUGGACUAACCCAGCAAUUUUUAACCCAAAAGUUGAGGUUUGGAACAUUGCCAGUUUACAUCGGCAUUCCCUAUAUAUUUAUUAUAUAUAUUUAUCCAUAUAUUUUACCAGAUACAGGUCAGCAUAAGUAUGGUGUUUCACAUAAAUCCGUUGCGCUGAAUGAUUAUUUCACCCAUAUUUUGACAUUUUAUUUGAAAGAUUAAAGCAGACACUUUACUUGUAUUUACUUGUAUUACUUGUAUUUCACAAUUAGUUACUGUCCUCGAGUAUCUUUUUGUAGUUUAACUGAGUAUCAAAUGUAUUAGCAAAUUUUACUCUCUACUUCACUACAUUUUUUUAAUCAAGAUAUGUACUCUUUACUCCAGUACCUUUGUAAAGAUUCAUGCAAUUACUCGUUACAUUCUGCAUGGCACCAGGCUUUUCUGCAGCAGUUUAUUUCUGCUACAAAAGACGGAAUAUUACACAGAGGAAGUCACGUGACACGAUCAGGAAACCACUUUUAAGAAAUCCACCCCAGACCUCGUAAAGAUUUCCUAACUCACCAUUUCAAAAGAUUAAAAACUGGUCAAAAGUUAGUGUUAAUCUACAGUGUUCGGCCAAAACAAUGGUUUAACCAACCAUACGUUUAUAAACACAACUCAAGCUGAAGGAAGUGAUGUAACAGAACUCUAACACACUGAAAAACACACUCUCAAUCAGCAGAAAAACAGAAAAAGUGUAUAUAUAUAUACAUAUAUAUAUAUAUAUAUAUAUAUAUAUAUAUAUAUAUAUAUAUAUAUAUAUAUAUAUAUAUAUAUAUAUAUAUAUAUAUAUAUAUCCCUCCACAUGACUGUACAAUAUGCAUGCAAAUAAACCUUGACAUACUUAUAUAUCCAACUUAAAUAUCCAUAUAAAGAUCUGGCCUAUAACUUACAUGAAUAUUAUAUUAUAACUUACAUGAAUAUUACAAUUUUAAUUACAAUAUACUGUAUGUAUGCAGACAAAAAUUGUACAAACUUAUAAAACCAAUUUUAUAUACAUCUAUACAUACUCUUAGUAUGAUAUACAGAGCUUUUCACUGAACAAAUUUUCACUGAAAGCAACAAAGAUUCAACUGAUCUGAGUGCAUUUCCAUUUAUGCUUUUAGCAGACGUGUUUACAUAGAUUUACUGUAAAUUCAAGCUAUGAAGUUUUUAUUUGAGAAUUGAACUCUUGACUAGUUUAGCUGGUAGAAACGAAUAGGUUACAAUUUACUAUCAACCAACACUACAGGACUUAUGUGUGCAAACCUUUAGACAUUUAUCAGGCCUUUCCCAGGUCUUUCCCCGAACUCGAGGAAUGAAAUUUAAGACAUUAUUAAUGCAAUAUUUAUCUGUAAACAGAAGGUUUUUGUAAACCAGGGUCAUUAAUUAACUGAUUUUGUACAUUCGUGAGGGCAGUUUUUAUCACCACCUUAAUAAUUGUAUCUGUGUUGUCUUUAAUGUCAAAUACUUGAAUUUAACAAAUUACUUCAAUUAAUCAAAAUACUUUAAACUGUUGCCAGUAACAACUGACUGUUUGAAAUCAUAUCUUAAUUAUACAUUUAAAAACAGGAGCCAAUAUGGCUGCAAUAUUAUGACAACAUUCGUUAUUGUCGAUUAUUGCCUCUUGAUAUUGUAAUAAUGAUUAUUAAUACGGAUUAAUGGAAUACAUAUAAAAAUCGCUUCAUCUGGAAAGCAUCCGCUGUGUACAAACAUCUGAUAGACGUCUUUAAGAUGUCAGUUUACAUUCAUUCUAAAUCAUAAACAUCUUAAAGACAUCUUCUAAAUGUCUAUUUGACAUCUGGUAGGAAAUGUCCUAUAGAUGUAUUGCAGAUGAACAAACACUAAAAAAAAAUACGUCUUGCAGAUGUAAUGCAGAGGUCAGAUAGAGUCUCUUUGUGCAAUCAGGGACAUGCAUUCUAAAUCAUAAACAUCUUAAAGACAUCUUAUUAACAUGUAUUUGACAUCUGAUAGGAAACUUCCUAUAGACAUUUUGCAGAUGAACAAACACUCUAAAAAAUACGUCUUGCAGAUGUAAUGCAGACGUCAAAUAGACAUCUCCGUGACGUACGUGUGCUAUCAGGGUGUGUUUUCAUGACUUUUGAACACUUGAGCACAUCGAUCACCUUCUCGAGAUUCAUGAUUAAAAGCUAACUUUCAUGUAUGCUUUUUCUUGCCAUCAUAUAGUCGCAGUUGCAAAUCAAGAAGCGCUAAAAACAGGAGUCCACAGAAGUUUGAGGGAAAAUAAUGUGUGUUUGGUUUCCUCUUUUUUCCAUUGUUUUGCUUACUCAUCUGACAGUUCAGCCCAGACAUGUACGUUAAAGCUCACACUAUACAACCCGUUACACCACAUAUCAACAUUCAGUAUCACUUUUAGCAGACGUGUUUACAUACAUUUACUGUAAAUUCAAGCUGUGAAGUUUUUAUUUAAGAAUUGAACUCUUGACUAGUUUAUCUGGUAGAAACCAAUAGGUUACAAUUUACUAUCAACCAACACUACAGGACUUAUGUGUGCAAACCUUUAAACAUUAUCAGGCCUUUUUGGUCUCUCUCAGGUCUUUCCCCGAACUCGAGGAACAAAAUUUAAGACAUUAUUAAUGCAAUAUUUAUCUGUAAACAGAAGGCUUCUGUAAACCAGGGUCAUUAAUUAACUGAUUUUGUACAUUCGUGAGGGCAGUUUUUAUCACCACCUUAAUAAUUGUAUCUGUGUUGUCUUUAAUGUCAAAUACUUGAAUUUAACCAAUUACUUCAAUUAAUCAAAAUACUUUAAACUGUUGCCAGUAACAACUGACUGUUUGAAAUCAUAUCUUAAUUAUACAUUUAAAAACAGGAGCCAAUAUGGCUGCAAUAUUAUGACAACAUUCGUUAUUGUCGAUUAUUGCCUCUUGAUAUUGUAAUAAUGAUUAUUAAUACGGAUUAAUGGAAUACAUAUAAAAAUCGCUUCAUCUGGAAAGCAUCUGCUGUGUACAAACAUCUGAUAGACAUCUUUAAGAUGUCAGUUUACAUGCAUUCUAAAUCAUAAACAUCUUAAAGACAUCUUCUAAACAUCUGUUUGACAUCUGAUAGGAAACUUCCUAUAGACGUUUUGCAGAUGAACAAACACUCUAAAAAAUACGUCUUGCAGAUGUAAAUGCAGAUGUCAAAUAGACGUCUCUGUGACGUACGUGUGCUAUCAGGGUGUGUUUUCAUGACUUUUGAACACUUGAGCACAUCGAUCACCUUCUCGAGAUUCAUGAUUAAAAGCUAACUUUCAUUUAUGCUUUUUCUUGCCAUCAUAUAGUCGCAGUUGCAAAUCAAGAAGCGCUAAAAACAGGAGUCCACAGAAGUUUGAGGGAAAAUAAUGUGUGUUUGGUUUCCUCUUUUUUUCAUUGUUUUGUUUACUCAUCUGACAGUUCAGCCCAGACAUGUACGUUAAAGCUCACGCUAUACAACCCGUUACACCACAUAUCAACAUUCAGUAUCACUUUUAGCAGACGUGUUUACAUACUUUUUUACUGUAAAUUCAAGCUGUGAAGUUUUUAUUUGAGAAUUGAACUCUUGACUAGUUUAGCUGGUAGAAACCAAUAGGUUACAAUUUACUAUCAACCAACACUACAGGACUUUAAGCAAUUAUGUGUGCAAACCUUUAAACAUUAUCAGGCCUUUUUGGCCUCUCUCAGGUCUUUCCCCGAACUCGAGGAACAAAAUUUAAGACAUUAUUAAUGCAAUAUUUAUCUGUAAACAGAAGGGUUCUGUAAACCAGGGUCAUUAAUUAACUGAUUUUGUACAUUCGUGAGGGCAGUUUUUAUCACCACCUUAAUAAUUGUAUCUGUGUUGUCUUUAAUGUCAAACACUUGAACUUAACCAAUUACUUUAAUCAAUCAAAAUACUUUAAACUGUUGCCAGUAACAACUGACUGUUUGAAAUCAUAUCUUAAUUAUACGUUUAAAAACAGGAGCCAAUAUGGCUGCAAUAUUAUGACAACAUUCGUUAUUGUCGAUUAUUGCUCUUGAUAUUGUAAUAAUGAUUAUUAAUACGGAUUAAUGGAAUACAUAUAAAAAUCGCUUCAUCUGGAAAGCAUCUGCUGUGUACAAACAUCUGAUAGACAUCUUUAAGAUGUCAGUUUUACAUUCAUUCUAAAUCAUAAACAUCUUAAAGACAUCUUCUAAAUGUCUAUUUGACGUACGUGUGCUAUCAGGGUGUGUUUUCAUGACUUUUGAACACUUGAGCACAUCGAUCCCCUUCUUGAGAUUCAUGAUUAAAAGCUAACUUUCAUUUAUGCUUUUUCUUGCCAUCAUAUAGUCGCAGUUGCAAAUCGAGAAGCGCUAAAAACAGAAGUCCACAGAAGUUUGAGGGAAAAUAAUGUGUGUUUGGUUUCCUCUUUUUUCCAUUGUUUUGCUUACUCAUCUGACAGUUCAGCCCAGACAUGUACGUUAAAGCUCACGCUAUUCAACCCGUUACACCACAUAUCAACAUUCAGUAUCACUUUAAGCAGACAUGUUUACACACAUUUACUGUAAAUUCAAGCUGUGAAGUUUUUAUUUAAGAAUUGAACUCUUGACUAGUUUAACUGGUAGAAACAAAUAGGUUACAAUUUACUAUCAACCAACACUACAGGACUUAUGUGUGCAAACCUUUAGACAUUAUCAGGCCUUUUUGGCCUCUCUCAGGUCUUUCCCUGUACUCGAGGAACAAAAUUUAAGACAUUAUUAAUGCAAUAUUUAUCUGUAAACAGAAGGGUUCUGUAAACCAGGGUCAUUAUUUAACUGAUUUUGUACAUUCGUGAGGGCAGUUUUUAUCACCACCUUAAUAAUUGUAUCUGUGUUGUUUUUAAUGUCAAUUACUUGAAUUUAACCAAUUACUUCAAUCAAUCAAAAUUUUGUCUCAAAAAAAGUUUGUCUCAUGGCUUCAGAGACAAACAUGUCGGUCCAUGACGUUAGACUAGACUAGCACAAGUUGAGCAAAACCUCCCAUUAUAAUAACUGAUGCUAUGAAAUUAAUCUUUUAUUUACAUCGUAUCUGCACUGUUGUUUAUGAUGUGGGUUCAGUGCGGCAAUAUAAUCAACAACAACUCCGGAGUCUUGAGCACUGACUAAUCUAAGCAGCUCUGAUUGGCCAUUGCAUUCCUAAGCUCAACGGAAACGCAUGUGAUUGCUUAUAAAGCUCAACACUGCAAAAUAAAAAAAGCAUAAAAUGCAAUCUGAUGCAGCAUGAGCAGUUCAUUUUAAUCACAACAGCUGUAGUACAUUGUUGCAUUGUGCAGGGGCAAUUUUUGCCCCUUUAUCUUGAAUUUGUGGGGCAUUUUGGUUAAUUUUGGUUGCAUUUUUGCCACAAGCCCCCAUUAACAACAUGUGACUGCUUCAACUCACUCCAGGCGGCCAAAUGCAGAAAUGCAUAACUCAGUCUAGCAAAGCUAAGAUUUUCUGUGACUUUCCGACUUUAAUUGCUUUGAAAUGUUAAUUCCAAAUCACCAAACUGCAUCACGUCUGCAAGAGGUCUGUCAAAGAUCGCUUCAUCUGGAAAGCAUCUGCUGUGUACAAACAUCUGAUAGACGUCUUUAAGAUGUCAGUUUACAUUCAUUCUAAAUCAUAAACAUCUUAAAGACAUCUUAUUAACGUCUAUUUGACAUCUGAUAGGAAACGUCCUAUAGUCGUAUUGCAGAUGAACAAACACUAAAAAAAUAUGCCUUGCAGAUGUAAUGCAGACGUCAAAUAGACGUCUCUGUAUUGUACGUGUGCUAUCAAGGUGUGUUUUCAUGACUUUUGAGCACUUGUGCACAUCAAUCACCUCCUCGAGAUUCAUGAUUAAAAGCUAACUUUCAAGGUUUUUCUUGCCAUCGUAUAGUCGCAGUUGCAAAUCGAGAAGCGCUAAAAACUGAAUUGCACAGAAGUUCAAGGGGAAAUAAUGUGCGAUUGGUUUCCUCUUUUUUCCAUUGUUUUGUUUACUCAUCUGACAGUUCAGCCCAGACAUGUACGUUAAAGCUCACGCUAUACAACCCGUAACACCACAUAUCAACACACAGUACCAUUGUUAACAUGUCAAGCUAAAUAAUUUACAAACGCAAAGAGAUAUGUGCUUUAUAUAACCUAUAAAACUCCCAAAGCCAAACAUAAGUGAAAAUAAGCAUCCGGUUUCUCAGGGAAAGUGCGAUCCUACACGAGUUUUGCUGUGAAACUAGUGUCUCUGUACCUGCGAGUAAACACACUCCUCCUGAAGCUGCUGCUGUGGAGCGUUUGAGUGGUUCGGAGUGAAUGUCACCUCGCCGUACUGAACCUCCUCCUCCUUCUUCUUCUUCUUCCUCUUUGUCUGCGUUCGGACCUCGGAGUAUUCCACAUCAGCAGCCAGGAAAGAUUCUGU